This 596-nucleotide ribosomal RNA is filed under the name Suillus spraguei. RNAcentral's name for it is "partial 25S ribosomal RNA". It matches the Rfam family "Eukaryotic large subunit ribosomal RNA", at positions 72 to 641 of the family's 3401-position model. Lineage: Eukaryota; Fungi; Basidiomycota; Agaricomycetes; Boletales; Suillaceae. The record is from RNAcentral.
GGAUUCCCCUAGUAACUGCGAGUGAACCGGGAAAAGCUCAAAUUUUGAAUCUGGCGGUCCAAGGGCCGUCCGAGUUGUAAUCUAGAGAAGCGUCUUCCGCGCUGGACCGUGUAUAAGUUUCCUGGAAUGGAACGUCGUAGAGGGUGACAAUCCCGUCUUUGACACGGACUCCCAGUGCUAUGUGAUGCGCUCUCGACGAGUCGAGUUGUUUGGGAAUGCAGCUCAAAUAGGGUGGUAAAUUCCAUCUAAAGCUAAAUACAGGCGAGAGACCGAUAGCGAACAAGUACCGUGAGGGAAAGAUGAAAAGAACUUUGGAAAGAGAGUUAAACAGUACGUGAAAUUGCUGAAAGGGAAACGCUUGAUGUCAGUCGCAUCGUCCGGGGAUCAGCCUCGCUCUUUUGCUCGGCGUACUUCCUGGUCGAUGGGUCAGCAUCGGUUUCGACCGUCGGAAAAUGGCUCGAGGAACGUGGCACUCUUCGGGGUGUGUUAUAGCCUCGAGUCGAAUACGACGGUCGGGACCGAGGAACUCAGCACGACCUUCGGGUUCGGGGCUUCGGCUCACGUUCGCGUGCUUAGGAUGCUGGCAUAAUGGCCUU